Molecule: long non-coding RNA, 641 nt
Organism: Asparagus officinalis (garden asparagus)
Lineage: Eukaryota; Viridiplantae; Streptophyta; Magnoliopsida; Asparagales; Asparagaceae
Exons: 2
Source: RefSeq, a predicted model, not a curated record
CUCUCUCUCUCUCUCUCUCUCUCUCUCACGAAAAUCCCUAAGCCAAAAAUUUCCGCUCCCUACAAUCGCCGUGGCGUCGUCGAUCUCAUCACUGAACUCGUCGCCGUUUCAUCUUGGAUCUCAUCUCCAAUCUCCUCUCCGAUAUUAUCUUCAAGUUGUUUUAGCACGGAAUUGUUCGGUUCCGCUCUUGAUUUAGGUCUUAUGCGGGGACUGGAAACCCUAGCAGUCGUUUUGUUUUUGGGCCGAGAAGUCUGCAAAACCCUAUCUCAGUUCAACUGGUUGCUUAGAGAUUAUCUAAAGGCUCAAUGCUGAGGUUUUGUAGCUCUUCUUCUGAAGUUUAAUUACCUCGCAAAUUUCCCAUUCUCUCUUCGCCCCUAAAUAUUCAUUUUGUGAUUUUGAGCCCCAAAGCUCUUUCAGUUGAUGUUUUAAACAAGAUAUUCACAAUGCUUGUGUUUGUCUAAUUCAGGUGUUGCUUUAGUUAUGAAAAUUUUAGCUUUGUACCUUAAUUAGCAUGUUAUAGCUUUUAUAUCGAUCUGAUGACUGAUUUAAUGUUGAUGUUAUACGCCAUAGCAGCAGCACAAUUAUAGCUUCUUCACGUUUGAUAUUUUCAACUUUACACAUAAGUCUCUCUAUUCAUUCCA